AGGGACACAGGGGGUGUCCCAGGGGGUGUGGGGGUGUCGGGGUGUCCCUCACCACGCAGGCGGCCUGCAGCGCCUCGCUGAGCCCCGCGGCGUUGGGCUCACACCAGAGCAUGUGGCAGCGGAAGGAGCCGGGGGCCGCGGCCGCGAUGAAGGCGAAGGAGCGAACGUCCCGGCCCACCCCCAUGAAGGACAGGAACCGCACCCGCACCUCGGCCACCACCGCCUGCGUCUGGGGGGGACAGACCCAUGGAUAGACCCACGGACAGACCCACGGACAGACCCACAGACACCACCCCCAUGAAGGACAGGAACCGCACCUGCACCUCGGCCACCACCGCCUGCGUCUGGGGGGGACAUGGGGUCAGACCCACGGACAGACCCACAGACAGACCCACAGACAGACCCAGAGCUCAGGGACAGACCCACAGACACCACCCCCAUGAAGGGCAGGAACUGCACCCGCACCUCGGCCACCACCACCUGCGUCUGGGGGGGACACACGGACACACCAUGGGGACAGCCCCAUGGACCCCAACCCCACCUCGGCCACCACCGCCUGCGUCUGGGACAGACCCACAGACAGACCCAUGGACACCAGACCCAUAGACAGACCCACGGACAGACCCACAGCUCGGGGACAGACCCACGGAGAGACCCACAGACAGCCCCACAGACAGACCCACAGACACCACCCCCAUGAAGGACAGGAACCACACACGGACCUCGGCCACCACCGCCUGCGUCUGGGGGGGGACACAGACCCACAGCUGGGGGGCAGACCCACAGACAGACCCACGGACAGACCCACAGACACCAACCCCACCUCCGCCACCACCGCCUGCGUCUGCAGGUGGACACCCACCGCCAGACCCACAGACACCACCCCCAUGAAGGACAGGAACCGCACCCGCACCUCGGCCACCACCGCCUGCGUCUGGGGGGGACAUGGGGUCAGCCCCACGGACAGACCCACAGACAGACCCACAGACAGACCCAUAGGAUCGAGCCCCACACCAGCUCACAAACACCAUCCCCACCACAGACAUCAUCCCCACCAUGGACACCAGCCCCAUGGACACCAACCCCGUGGACACCAGCCCCACCACGGACAUUAUCCCCAUGGACACCAGCCCCAUGGACAACAGCCCCACCAUGGCCACCAACUCCACCAUAGACAACAACCCCUCCAUGAACACCAACCCCGUGGCCAUCACUAUUCCCACCACAGACACCAGCCCCACCAUGGACAUUACCCCCAUGGCCACCAACCCCACAAUGGACACCAGCCCCAUGGACACCAACUCUAUGGACACCAUCCCCACCGUGGACACCAGCUCCAUGGCCACCAGCCCCACAAUGGACACCAACCCCACGGACAUCAUCCCCACUGUGGACACCAGCCCCAUGGACACCCUGGAUACCAACCCCAUGAACACCAGCCCCACCACAGACAUUAUCCCCAUGGACAUCAACCCCAUGGACACCAAGCCCUCCAUGGACACCAGCGCCAAUGGGCAUCAGCCCCAUGGACACCAACCCCACCAUAGACACCAGUCCCACAAACACCACCCCCAUCAUAGACACCAUCCCCACUAUGGCCACCAACCCCAUGGCCACCAACCCCACCAAGAACACCAGCCCCAUGGACACCAGCCCCACCAUGAACAUCAACCCAUCCAUGGACACCAACUCCACAGACACCAACCCCAUAGCCAUCACUAUUCCCACCAUGGCCACCAGCCCCAUGGACACCAACCCCAUGGACAACACCCCCAUCAUGGACACCAGCCCCACCAUGGCCACCAGCCCCAUGAACAGCAACCCCAUGGCCCCCAGCCCCACGGCCAUCACUAUCCUCAUGGCCAGCAGCUUCAUGGCCAUCACUAUCGCCAUGGCCAUCACUAUCCCCA
RNAcentral lists this long non-coding RNA (1910 nucleotides) under Calidris pugnax (ruff). RNAcentral's name for it is "lncRNA (ENSCPUG00000001392.1)". The record is from RNAcentral. Lineage: Eukaryota; Metazoa; Chordata; Aves; Charadriiformes; Scolopacidae.